RNAcentral lists this unclassified non-coding RNA (220 nucleotides) under uncultured Entoloma. RNAcentral's name for it is "sequence contains ITS1". Lineage: Eukaryota; Fungi; Basidiomycota; Agaricomycetes; Agaricales; Entolomataceae. The record is from RNAcentral.
UUGAAUAAACUUGGUUAGGUUGUUGCUGGCUCUUAGGAGCAUGUGCACGCCGACUCCAUUUUUAACCACCUGUGCACCUUGCGUAGAUCUGAUAAUCUCGAGGAAACUCGGUUUGAGAAUUGCUAUAUAGCUCUUCUUGUAAUCAGGUCUAUGUUUCUAUAUACCCCACACGAAUGUAAUUGAAUGUCAUAAAUGGCCUUUGUGCCUUUAAAAACAAAUA